CAAAGUAAACGUUGAUUUUCUCUUGAACAAAAAUUUUAUGUAUUAUUAAUAUGCCAGCAAAAUACUUCUGUUCACCUUUUGAAUACAUUCAAAAGGAGAGUGAGUACAAAAGAGAAUUUUCUCAUGCUCUGGGGGGGGCCUGGGUCAGCUCAGGAAGGAAGCCCUGCCUGUAAAGGCUGCAGCUUAGGCUGUCUCUCUUCACUUAGCCCAGCAUCUGAUCACAUCUUCUGUCACUCAGGGCCUGAGGGGCGGGACCUAAAGCAUUAUCCAAUCAGAGACGCUGGGCUGGAAACCGUCCAAUCAGGCACGCAGCUGGAGCGACGAGGACGGCUUUCCGCUUUUGGCGCGGCCUUUGUCUCUAGCUGCAGCCGGCGUUUCAGGUCUCGUCUUCACUGGUCUGUGUCCUAUUCUCCUGGAGGCCCAGCCUCUGUGGCCCUGUGACCUGCAGGUAUUGGGAGAUCCACAGCUAAAACCCCAGGACACCCUGGAAGCAUAGAAAUGGUUCUGUAGCAGAAAUUGCUGGUGUCUGUGGCAGGGGAGGGCACCUGAGGACAGGGAAGAAGAAACAUAUUUUUAUCUUUAUGGAGCAGCACAUUGUUCCCAAAUACCUUCUGCUUUAAGGGACAGAAAUGGAUGGACUUUUUCUGUCUUUUCUGCCAGUUGAUGUCAUGCUUGCAGGGACCAUUGCAGUUUAGAGACGUGGCCAUAGAAUUCUCUCUGGAGGAGUGGCAUUGCCUGGACACUGCACAGCGGAAUUUAUAUAGGGAUGUGAAGUUUCAGAACUACAGAAACUUGGUCUUCCUUUAGAUUAUAUUUUCUUCCAUCUUCCGCAUCCUCCUGUUCUUCAGCCAAUAAAUGAAAAAAGAUACAGAGAAGACACAUUUGCUUUUUAUCCACUGCACUUCCACUCACUAUUAGUCAAUGUGGUUACAGCUGAGAAUAGCAGUUUUCUGGCAGGGCAGCCACUUCUCAGCAAUAAACAGCACACUGAAAAAAAAGGAUAAAUCCUUCAUAAAAAGCUAAUGAACUUUUUUUUUCCUGGAAACUUUAAAAUCCCUCAAAAACUGUUUAUUAUACAGGUGAAUUUUGAUAGUCAUG
This 1098-nucleotide long non-coding RNA is filed under the name Homo sapiens (human). RNAcentral's name for it is "HSALNT0396543". Lineage: Eukaryota; Metazoa; Chordata; Mammalia; Primates; Hominidae. The record is from RNAcentral.